UACGAGGGGGGCGAGCGUUGUUCGGAAUUAUUGGGCGUAAAGGGUGCGUAGGCGGUUUGGUAAGUCUGAUGUGAAAUCUAUGGGCUCAACUCAUAGUCUGCAUCGGAAACUGCCGGGCUUGAGUGUGGGAGAGGUGAGUGGAAUUCCUGGUGUAGCGGUGAAAUGCGUAGAUAUCAGGAGGAACACCGUGUGGCGAAAGCGGCUCAUGGACCAUAACUGACGCUGAGUGCACGAAAGCUAGGGGAGCAAACAGG
RNAcentral lists this ribosomal RNA (254 nucleotides) under uncultured bacterium. RNAcentral's name for it is "partial 16S ribosomal RNA". It matches the Rfam family "Bacterial small subunit ribosomal RNA", at positions 524 to 776 of the family's 1533-position model. The record is from RNAcentral.